ACACUCAAAGUCUCAUAAUUCGC
RNAcentral lists this non-coding RNA (23 nucleotides) under Arabidopsis thaliana (thale cress). The record is from RNAcentral. Lineage: Eukaryota; Viridiplantae; Streptophyta; Magnoliopsida; Brassicales; Brassicaceae.